RNAcentral lists this ribosomal RNA (446 nucleotides) under uncultured bacterium. RNAcentral's name for it is "partial 16S ribosomal RNA". It matches the Rfam family "Bacterial small subunit ribosomal RNA", at positions 338 to 795 of the family's 1533-position model. The record is from RNAcentral.
CCUACGGGUGGCAGCAGUCGAGAAUCAUUCACAAUGGGGGAAACCCUGAUGGUGCGACGCCGCGUGGGGGAAUGAAGGUCUUCGGAUUGUAAACCCCUGUCAUGUGGGAGCAAAUUAAAAAGAUAGUACCACAAGAGGAAGAGACGGCUAACUCUGUGCCAGCAGCAGCGGUAAUACAGAGGGCUCAAGCGUUGUUCGGAAUCACUGGGCGUAAAGCGUGCGUAGGCUGUUUCGUAAGUCGUGUGUGAAAGGCGCGGGCUCAACCCGCGGACGGCACAUGAUACUGCGAGACUAGAGUAAGGGAGGGGGAGCCGGAAUUCUCGGUGUAGCAGUGAAAUGCGUAGAUAUCGAGAGGAACACUCGUGGCGAAGGCGGGUUCCUGGACAUUAACUGACGCUGAGGCACGAAGGCCAGGGGAGCGAAAGGGAUUAGAUACCCGAGUAGUC